Molecule: ribosomal RNA, 1426 nt
Rfam family: Eukaryotic large subunit ribosomal RNA
UCCCUUAGUAGCGGCGAGCGAAACGGGAAGAGUCCAGCGCCGAAUCCUCGUCGCCUCGAUAGCGGCGGGGAAAUGUGGCGUAUGGGAGGCCGCGUGCCGUCGGCGACGUCCCCGGAGCAAGUCCCCUUGAUCGGGGCGAGCGCAAGCGACCGGAGCGGGUGCGAGUCCCGUAGCCCGGGGGAACUGUCCGGCGGAGUGCGGUCUCUCGCGAGUCGGGUUGCUUGAGAGUGCAGCCCUAAGAAAGGUGGUAAACUCCAUCUAAGGCUAAAUACUGCCUCGAGACCGAUAGCGAACAAGUACCGUGAGGGAAAGUUGCAAAGAACUUUGAAGAGAGAGUUCAAGAGUACGUGAAACUGCUCAGAGGAAAACGGGUGGGCGUUCGAAGCCCCCGUCGGCAGUCUUUUCGGAUUCAGUUCGGCCUUUUUUGCCGUCGUCGGUAUUUCGGCGGUUGCCCUCCCGUUUCGGGACGCGGCAGCUUCCGGCAUGCCGAAAGGCGGUAAAGGACGGACGCAUUUCCGGAGUUGCCGGUGAAGGGCGCCGCGACCGAUCGGGCACCAAAGAGUGCGGAUCGCUGGCCGGACUCACAGUGCGGCGUGGAGACUGCUCGUUUCGUGCGUUCUGCGCGCGGGCGUCUGUCGCUCCCCCGACUGCCGGCAAAUCAAACAGCUUUCUGUCGUCCGAUCGGCGUUCACGUGACGAAGGCAGAGGCGCUCUCUCCUCGGGCCUGUGGCGUCGUUCCACGCCCGGUUCUCUGCCGGUCGCGCCUCGUGCGCGGCUUCGGUGGGUUCCGGGCGGACGGCGUCCGGUCUUUACUUACCAGAGGAGGGCAGAGGUGCUGCCGUCGCGGCGAGUGUCUCGGUGUCCCACCCGACCCNNNNNNNNNNNNNGACCAAGGAGUCUAACCCGUACGCGAGUCGCAGGGUCUUGCACAGGCCCCGUGGCGGAGCGAAAGCGAAGCCGUGACGCCCGCUCUGCGAAGAGCAGGGCAGCAUCGGCGGCCCGGCGGAGCGGACGGUAGGUCUCCGGGGAAGGUUCUGCCCGAACCGGUCUCCUCCGUCCAGCGUCGGAGUCGGAGCGCACGAGUUGGUACCCGAAAGAUGGUGAACUAUGCCUGGCCAGGGCGAAGCCGGAGGAAACUCCGGUGGAGGCCCGAAGCGGUUCUGACGUGCAAAUCGAUCGUCGGAGCGGAGUAUAGGGGCGAAAGACUAAUCGAACCAUCUAGUAGCUGGUUCCCUCCGAAGUUUCCCUCAGGAUAGCUGGCAUUCGGAGAAACUCAGUCUCUCCUCGUAGAGAGAAUGAAUAGAGGCCCUGGGGCCCUAGACGACCUCAACCUAUUAUCAAACUACUACGAGGUGCGUCGCGGGUUACCUGCCGAUAACGAGAGGAACCCGGAAGUCGAUGUAGAGUGCCGUGUGGGCCAUUUUUG